Molecule: ribosomal RNA, 164 nt
Filed under: Strychnos samba
Lineage: Eukaryota; Viridiplantae; Streptophyta; Magnoliopsida; Gentianales; Loganiaceae
Description: 5.8S ribosomal RNA
Rfam family: 5.8S ribosomal RNA
About the family: 5.8S ribosomal RNA (5.8S rRNA) is a component of the large subunit of the eukaryotic ribosome.
Source: RNAcentral
AAAACGACUCUCGGCAACGGAUAUCUCGGCUCUCGCAUCGAUGAAGAACGUAGCAAACUGCGAUACUUGGUGUGAAUUGCAGAAUCCCGUGAACCAUCGAGUCUUUGAACGCAAGUUGCGCCCAAAGCCGUUAGGCCGAGGGCACGUCUGCCUGGGCGUCACGC